RNAcentral lists this long non-coding RNA (306 nucleotides) under Sus scrofa (pig). RNAcentral's name for it is "lncRNA (ENSSSCG00070003833.1)". Lineage: Eukaryota; Metazoa; Chordata; Mammalia; Artiodactyla; Suidae. The record is from RNAcentral.
AUGGCUCUUGCAUCAGAACCUAAUGCCUACAAGGUGCAAAAACAGUUUGCUAACAAAACGGUGGUCCUGAAAACUCUUGCCAAAGCAGUUUUGCAAUCCAGAUCAUUAUUAAAACUCCGGACAGAACGACUAGUCUUAUUUCUACUGAAGUUUCAUUCUGAGCUCUUCAAGGCACCGGUUACUUUAUUAGAUCUGAUUAAUAAGAAACUUAAGAUGCUUCUACAUGGAGACGAUCCAGAUGCCAUAUCAGGUAUUGAUCCAGACUUACUCUUUCUUCAUCGUUACGUGACUGAUACAGGUACAUAA